This 425-nucleotide ribosomal RNA is filed under the name uncultured bacterium. RNAcentral's name for it is "partial 16S ribosomal RNA". It matches the Rfam family "Bacterial small subunit ribosomal RNA", at positions 354 to 796 of the family's 1533-position model. The record is from RNAcentral.
GUGGGGAAUCUUAGACAAUGGGGGAAACCCUGAUCUAGCCAUGCCGCGUGAUCGAUGAAGGCCUUAGGGUUGUAAAGAUCUUUCAGCUGGGAAGAUAAUGACGGUACCAGCAGAAGAAGCCCCGGCUAACUCCGUGCCAGCAGCCGCGGUAAUACGGAGGGGGCUAGCGUUAUUCGGAUUUACUGGGCGUAAAGCGCACGUAGGCGGAUCGGAAAGUUAGGGGUGAAAUCCCGGGGCUCAACCUCGGAACUGCCUCUAAAACUCCUGGUCUUGAGGUCGAGAGAGGUGAGUGGAAUUCCGAGUGUAGAGGUGAAAUUCGUAGAUAUUCGGAGGAACACCAGUGGCGAAGGCGGCUCACUGGCUCGAUACUGACGCUGAGGUGCGAAAGCGUGGGGAGCAAACAGGAUUAGAAACCCGUGUAGUCC